UACGUAGGUGGCAAGCGUUAUCCGGAAUUAUUGGGCGUAAAGCGCUCGCAGGCGGCCUUUUAAGUCUGAUGUGAAAGCCCACGGCUCAACCGUGGAGGGUCAUUGGAAACUGGGAGACUUGACUGCAGAAGAGGAGAGUGGAAUUCCACGUGUAGCGGUGAAAUGCGUAGAGAUGUGGAGGAACACCAGUGGCGAAGGCGACUCUCUGGUCUGUAACUGACGCUGAGGCACGAAAGCUAGGGUAGCGAACGGG
RNAcentral lists this unclassified non-coding RNA (253 nucleotides) under uncultured Caryophanales bacterium. RNAcentral's name for it is "uncultured Bacillales bacterium contains 16S-23S intergenic spacer region". It matches the Rfam family "Bacterial small subunit ribosomal RNA", at positions 524 to 776 of the family's 1533-position model. Lineage: Bacteria; Bacillati; Bacillota; Bacilli; Caryophanales. The record is from RNAcentral.